UAUGUCUUGCGCUCCUACAUUCAUGUCGUGCACACUGGAUGAGUAGCAUGUCCGUCCGUGCACUUGGCGUGUCCUAGUCACAGGGGAAGUGUUCCCACAUGUAUGGGUGAGCUUUCCCACACAUGUGGUGGUUCACACAUAUGCUGAAGGUAGGUCACUUGUGCGGCACAUGCUGUUCGCCAUUCUCCUCAAGGUCGACUGGACUCUCUUGGGCCUUUUCUUGGGUCUAAUGCUUCCUUGGCUGAAAAGGUCUCGAACGCAUCUAUUUUCUGACCAAAGGUCAAUCUUCCAUCCCUCUUGGCAAUUCUUUAAGCCUACAGGUUCUCUCAUGGGCCUCAAACCCAAUUGUUUGUCUUGUCUUGG
RNAcentral lists this long non-coding RNA (363 nucleotides) under Carica papaya (papaya). RNAcentral's name for it is "long non-coding RNA (CPAP_LNC015276)". The record is from RNAcentral. Lineage: Eukaryota; Viridiplantae; Streptophyta; Magnoliopsida; Brassicales; Caricaceae.